This 292-nucleotide ribosomal RNA is filed under the name uncultured bacterium. Its description in RNAcentral is "partial 16S ribosomal RNA". It matches the Rfam family "Bacterial small subunit ribosomal RNA", at positions 505 to 796 of the family's 1533-position model. The record is from RNAcentral.
GUGCCAGCCGCCGCGGUAAUACGUAGGGGGCUAGCGUUGUCCGGAAUCAUUGGGCGUAAAGCGCGUGUAGGCGGUCCGGUAAGUCCGCUGUGAAAGUCGGGGGCUCAACCCUCGGAUGCCGGUGGAUACUGUCGGGCUUGAGUACGGAAGAGGCGAGUGGAAUUCCUGGUGUAGCGGUGAAAUGCGCAGAUAUCAGGAGGAACACCAAUUGCGAAGGCAGCUCGCUGGGACGUUACUGACGCUGAGACGCGAAAGCGUGGGGAGCAAACAGGAGGAGAAACCAUUGGAGUAC